AGCUUCACCUUCUGAAUCAGAUUCUCUCCUCAAAACCCCCUUUUGUUUUUUCUGCUCCAAUUACACACAGCUCGUUAACCAUCCCUCUUUAAAAAUCCCCAUAAUCCUUUUUUCCCUUCAAAUUUUCGCGAAGUUAUUCUUGUUCAUCGCUGCGUUCUACUCAAAGUGAGUGGGUUAUUUACACAUAAAAUACUUUUUAAAAAUUACAGCAUGCAUGUAUCUUUUAGUUUGAAAUUUUGAACGACAUUGUGUUGAUCUUUUCUCUUUCUUGGUUUAAUUACAGUGACAAUGGACUUAGCUACUGAAGGAUGGCGGAGCAGUUUUGUUAACCCUACGGCUAAAAGGUUACAGCCCUGUAGCCCCCGAG
This 367-nucleotide long non-coding RNA is filed under the name Nicotiana tabacum (common tobacco). Its description in RNAcentral is "long non-coding RNA (NTAB_LNC019165)". The record is from RNAcentral. Lineage: Eukaryota; Viridiplantae; Streptophyta; Magnoliopsida; Solanales; Solanaceae.